CGCCUUGCCUCGUCUGCGUCGGGUUGCAGGGUCUUGGCGGCAUGGACGCCGCCAAGAGGUUCGCCGCGACAGGAGGUCGCGUCGAACCGACCCGUUCGCAACCCGGCGGUGACGAGGGGAGCCC
This is a regulatory RNA element of Halothiobacillus sp., 124 nucleotides long. The record is from Rfam. Lineage: Bacteria; Pseudomonadati; Pseudomonadota; Gammaproteobacteria; Chromatiales; Halothiobacillaceae.